UUUUUUUUUUUUUUUUUUUUUUAAUCAGGUGCUUUUUACAAAUGGAAAGAUGACUCCUAUGUAUCCCUGCAAUUUUAGAUUUUUUUUUUUUUAGACCAAAAGGCCUCAGUUCUUUCAUUUCGCUGCCAUUUAAACUUCUGACCCUUUGGCUUCCCUUUGUUAGGACCACAUCUCUCUCAAACAUGGCAUUGGAAACUGAACAUUGCAGCUGCACUCUUAGCACCUGCAGAAUGAUAGACCUCUUAUCACAUGUGUUAAGGACAGCGUUUCUUGUUUUGUGCUAAAUUCACAUUUUUUUCUACACAUCUCAUUUCCAGUAUGCUUUUAAUAAAAGUUGACUGACUAUAUGGAAGGAGGGAUUUCUUUGCUGAUUUUUGCUGCAGACAAUUGCAGAAAAAGAGUAUUUAUUCGCAUGAAGAUGUGAUCAUGUCCCCCAAGCAAAUGAGGUGAAAGAGUCAGUUUUCUUCAGCCUGUUAGAGGAACGCACAUCUGGAAGGAAUAUUUUAAUUCUCAGACAUAUGGAGUGGGGAGCUUGAGGAUACGAGCGUCACACAUCACUUCUCCCUUUAAAUUCUGUGCUCGUAUCUCUGGUGCACAGCAGGAAUUCUUGCGGAUCAUGGACAGUAACCAAGAAAGUGUUGCCAUGUUUUUACAACAUCCUGACCUCUAGGCUGUUACUUAGUUGAUUAGUUGGCAAUACAACCCUACAAGGUUGUACCAUCUUACUGAAACCCCUCUGGAUCUUAGAGGUGAACAGCAUACUUAGGAAAAGCAAUUGCAGGUGGCCAAUGGCACAGAGAAGGACUUCCAGGAGCCUCCUCCUGAUCCCAUGUAUCAAGUGUGCUCCCAUUCCAACUCCCUUGGAAAAUGCUGUAGUGAAGUGUUGUAGAGAAGCACAGGAAGAGGCAUCUGGACCCUGACUAUUGUGAAGGUUUGCUGAGACAAACACACACAUGCUUAUGGCUCACAGAAAGGGGAACAGAUGUGCAGAUUCAAGGAAUUUUAUCUGCCCACAAAUGCUGCAGUCACAGCUAAAGAAGUAAAAAUAGAUGCAGUUGUGGGAGCAGCAGCGAUGGCAAGGACUAAUGCUGAGAGGGUGCAGAGAGAGAGAGGAAAGGACAACCUAUCACAGGAGCAAGGAUAAGUGAGGAGGGCAUUAAUUAUGGACUGCCCUGAAUAGUGACAGCACCCAAACUGCCUCCCUUAACAAGUUUCCUAUUUUGUAGUUUCCCAGCAUCAGCUGCAUACCACCCUUUCCCACUACCAGUGUGCAGCACAUAUGGCUGCCUUGCAAGAAUCACACAAAUCAUCCAGUAAGUUCAUUUUUAUUAGUAGCUUCUGCUUAAUUAAGGGAUGCAUCAUGCUUCAUCAAUCAGCUUCUGUGCAUGCGAGUUGGUCUCAGCCACUCUGCUGAUGCAAACUCCAAGCAGACACAGUUCUUGUGCUGUAAGCAAGAGGCUGGUUAGCUUGAAUUUGGGCAGCCAGGGGCAGAGCUCUAUCCCUGACUGUGAAAGGGAAGUUUCAUACCACAGCUAAGGCAAUGGGAGAUCCACAGUGACUUUCUGCUGUUGUGCACCAACAGACUGAACCACAAAGCUAAUAAGAAGAAAAAUAUUAAGAGUUAAGACAGUGAAAAGAUUGAAAACUUUGGUUUGUUUACAAAUAUGAAGUAUUUUUAGCUUUCUGUAUUUUAAGGAAACCAGUUUCUGGACUCACCAGUGAUUUAUGCUGGGGCAUUUCAGCACUGUAGAAGAAAUUUCUGAAGAUGAACAAGUCAGGCAGGUGUAUCCAACAAAGCACAGUGCAGUACAGUGCCAAGCAGAGAUGGUGUGGACAGAGUAUGGCUUUGCUUCCCAGAGUGGACACAUGAACAUACACUAGAGUAUAUGUACCUAAAAGAGCUGGGUCUAAGUAGUUGAGGUUGGCAUGGGACCUCUUCCUGGAGCUACACAGUGAGAUGUGUAUGUAAUUACAGAUAAUCACAUUCUCCAGUCUCUCAGUUAAUGCUAAAAGGGCUGCCUGUUAUCACCAGGCCAUUACUGGCUUUGGAAUUAUGCUCAUAGCAACAACUCAGUGAAUUAUUUUUUAUUUGCUUAAUAACAUUAAAGGUGUAAUUGGUCAGAUUGCAGUUCAGCAUUUCCACUUCAGCCUCUCUCAUGGCCUCAGGUGCACUUACCCUGGACUCCUCCAGUGCAGGAAAGAUUAAUUCUGGUGAAUUAUACCAAACACCAUCACAGUUUUGCUGCUUGAAAAUUCAUUAAGAAGUGGAACCUACCAAAACCCAAAUCACUUACAGCCAAAAUCAAAUUUGGCUUCAGUCUUCUGAUGUGAAAGCCUGUGCAUUAACCCACCAGGUUACCUAAGCUCGAAUGCAUCCUUUCAAUAACCUGUUUAGUGAAUGUAAGUAACGCCAUAACAUACAUGUAAGAUACUUCAUCUCAAAAUACACAGGUCAUCAUUCUCCUCUGCAAUUUUCAUGGUAGCUUAUCCUUUACAUAUUUUAUUAUUAUUUUUAUGAUAGCUAUUAAAAGCCCUCAGAUGCUCUAUGGAUUGCUGGUGAAAUAGUGUAUGUACAGUAUGUAUGUUUUUUAAUAGUGCAAUUAAGGUAGAUCAGACAGUUCUACUAUAUUAUUAUAUACAUCUCUGCAAUUAGCAUAUUGUAAGUGCCUGCAAAAGGUUUAUGUGAUUUUUACACCUGUAAUGCCUCACUACACACCUCUGUAAGUAGAUUUCCCAGUGGCUAUGAAUUUUAGGCUGUUCCUAGCUGCCUGAAUAAAGCAAACCUGUGUGAAACUUACUAUUUUAUCUCAUCCUAUUCCAGGUCCUGAAGCUCAAGUGAAAGAGCUUUUAAAUCUAUAUUAAAGAAAAUAAAAGAAAAA
Molecule: long non-coding RNA, 2879 nt
Organism: Taeniopygia guttata (zebra finch)
Lineage: Eukaryota; Metazoa; Chordata; Aves; Passeriformes; Estrildidae
Source: Ensembl